RNAcentral lists this ribosomal RNA (2146 nucleotides) under Salmonella enterica subsp. enterica serovar Enteritidis. Its description in RNAcentral is "partial 23S ribosomal RNA". It matches the Rfam family "Bacterial large subunit ribosomal RNA", at positions 769 to 2891 of the family's 2925-position model. Lineage: Bacteria; Pseudomonadati; Pseudomonadota; Gammaproteobacteria; Enterobacterales; Enterobacteriaceae. The record is from RNAcentral.
GAGGACCGAACCGACUAAUGUUGAAAAAUUAGCGGAUGACCUGUGGCUGGGGGUGAAAGGCCAAUCAAACCGGGAGAUAGCUGGUUCUCCCCGAAAGCUAUUUAGGUAGCGCCUCGUGAAUUCAUCUCCGGGGGUAGAGCACUGUUUCGGCUAGGGGGCCAUCCCGGCUUACCAACCCGAUGCAAACUGCGAAUACCGGAGAAUGUUAUCACGGGAGACACACGGCGGGUGCUAACGUCCGUCGUGAAGAGGGAAACAACCCAGACCGCCAGCUAAGGUCCCAAAGUCAUGGUUAAGUGGGAAACGAUGUGGGAAGGCCCAGACAGCCAGGAUGUUGGCUUAGAAGCAGCCAUCAUUUAAAGAAAGCGUAAUAGCUCACUGGUCGAGUCGGCCUGCGCGGAAGAUGUAACGGGGCUAAACCAUGCACCGAAGCUGCGGCAGCGACACUGUGUGUUGUUGGGUAGGGGAGCGUUCUGUAAGCCUGUGAAGGUGUGUCGUGAGGCAUGCUGGAGGUAUCAGAAGUGCGAAUGCUGACAUAAGUAACGAUAAAGCGGGUGAAAAGCCCGCUCGCCGGAAGACCAAGGGUUCCUGUCCAACGUUAAUCGGGGCAGGGUGAGUCGACCCCUAAGGCGAGGCCGAAAGGCGUAGUCGAUGGGAAACGGGUUAAUAUUCCCGUACUUGGUGUUACUGCGAAGGGGGGACGGAGAAGGCUAUGUUGGCCGGGCGACGGUUGUCCCGGUUUAAGCGUGUAGGUGUGUGUUCCAGGUAAAUCCGGUUCACUUUAACACUGAGGCGUGACGACGAGGCACUACGGUGCUGAAGCAACAAAUGCCCUGCUUCCAGGAAAAGCCUCUAAGCAUCAGGUAACAUCAAAUCGUACCCCAAACCGACACAGGUGGUCAGGUAGAGAAUACCAAGGCGCUUGAGAGAACUCGGGUGAAGGAACUAGGCAAAAUGGUGCCGUAACUUCGGGAGAAGGCACGCUGACACGUAGGUGAAGUGAUUUACUCAUGGAGCUGAAGUCAGUCGAAGAUACCAGCUGGCUGCAACUGUUUAUUAAAAACACAGCACUGUGCAAACACGAAAGUGGACGUAUACGGUGUGACGCCUGCCCGGUGCCGGAAGGUUAAUUGAUGGGGUCAGCGCAAGCGAAGCUCCUGAUCGAAGCCCCGGUAAACGGCGGCCGUAACUAUAACGGUCCUAAGGUAGCGAAAUUCCUUGUCGGGUAAGUUCCGACCUGCACGAAUGGCGUAAUGAUGGCCAGGCUGUCUCCACCCGAGACUCAGUGAAAUUGAACUCGCUGUGAAGAUGCAGUGUACCCGCGGCAAGACGGAAAGACCCCGUGAACCUUUACUAUAGCUUGACACUGAACAUUGAGCCUUGAUGUGUAGGAUAGGUGGGAGGCUUUGAAGUGUGGACGCCAGUCUGCAUGGAGCCGACCUUGAAAUACCACCCUUUAAUGUUUGAUGUUCUAACGUGGACCCGUUACCCGGGUUGCGGACAGUGUCUGGUGGGUAGUUUGACUGGGGCGGUCUCCUCCUAAAGAGUAACGGAGGAGCACGAAGGUUGGCUAAUCCUGGUCGGACAUCAGGAGGUUAGUGCAAUGGCAUAAGCCAGCUUGACUGCGAGCGUGACGGCGCGAGCAGGUGCGAAAGCAGGUCAUAGUGAUCCGGUGGUUCUGAAUGGAAGGGCCAUCGCUCAACGGAUAAAAGGUACUCCGGGGAUAACAGGCUGAUACCGCCCAAGAGUUCAUAUCGACGGCGGUGUUUGGCACCUCGAUGUCGGCUCAUCACAUCCUGGGGCUGAAGUAGGUCCCAAGGGUAUGGCUGUUCGCCAUUUAAAGUGGUACGCGAGCUGGGUUUAGAACGUCGUGAGACAGUUCGGUCCCUAUCUGCCGUGGGCGCUGGAGAACUGAGGGGGGCUGCUCCUAGUACGAGAGGACCGGAGUGGACGCAUCACUGGUGUUCGGGUUGUCAUGCCAAUGGCACUGCCCGGUAGCUAAAUGCGGAAGAGAUAAGUGCUGAAAGCAUCUAAGCACGAAACUUGCCCCGAGAUGAGUUCUCCCUGAGACUUAAAGUCUCCUGAAGGAACGUUGAAGACGACGACGUUGAUAGGCCGGGUGUGUAAGCGCAGCGAUGCGUUGAGC